Molecule: ribosomal RNA, 2364 nt
Filed under: Triticum aestivum (bread wheat)
Lineage: Eukaryota; Viridiplantae; Streptophyta; Magnoliopsida; Poales; Poaceae
Description: partial small subunit ribosomal RNA
Source: RNAcentral
AUGGCCGGCUGGAGGAAGGCGUGGCUGUCCGUGCUGGACCGGAGCGGCGGCGGCGGCGGCGGCGGGGCCAGCAGCGGCUCCCUCCAGGCGCACCUCAACGGCCUCCUCUCCCCGUCCUCCUCCUCCACCUCCCUCGCCACCGCCCACAAGCGAGGCAGCGGCGCCGGCGGUAAGCACGGCGGCGGGCCGUACGUGAGCACCAAGGCCGUGCUGGCCUGCUUCUCCGCCGUCCUGGUGAUCGCCUUCUUCUACAUCUCCGUCACCGGUCGCCCCUCCCCCGACGACUCCUUCCCCACCCCGACGGGCUCCUCGCCGGCGUCCGGCGCGCUGCUGUCGUCGAACUCGUCCACGCCGACGUCGCCGAGGAAGCCGCUUCCUACCCACCCUCCCGUUCUUCCUAACGUAAGUAGCACCGGCACGGCUCAGCGGAGCAGCGCGCGCAAUGCCACCGUGGUGUCGCCGAGUCGAGUACAGAGCAACAACUCGGAUGAUGACUGGGCGCCGGCCGAUGGCUCGGGACAGCCGGCAUUGGUGCCGGAGGAUAUGGGGAAAGCGCAGGGUCCCCUCUAUAACGCCGAAAACGCCACGAUCAGCGGAUCGGACGGGGAGCCCGUCGUCGGCAACGGCACUAAAGCGCAAGAUGUAACCGCAAUGCCGACGCCGGCGUGGCGGAGAGCGGAUGCAGCGAAUUCCACAGGAAAACCCAUCAUCGGGGGCUCUCCUGAUGAGCCCGCGGACUCCGAAGGCGCCACCGGCAACUCUACCGACACGGUUGUGCGUUCGAGUAAGGAAGAUCGAAACGCGAACGCCAGCGUCGACAAUGUACCGCCGAACUCGACGCGGCGAGCAGCGCUGCCAUCAACAGCGCCGGGUCAGCGAAAGGAGGACAGACGCAGGCGCAAGAGAGCGUCCAUGGCGAGGCACAAGCAGCGCUCGAUCAGGCGACGGAAGGAGUUCGUCCACCCGGUGCAGGAAGGAGCUGCCGCCGACAACAGCGACGGCAUUGCCACGGCAGGCGCGAACACCAGCGUUGCCAUCGGGCCAGGCAACCACCAGGUGGUGUGGACGUCCUCCGCCGACCAUAGCGACGGCGCCGGCACUGGCACCGUCACGGCAGGCGCGAACACCAGCGUUGCCGUCGGGCCAGGCAACCACCGGGUGGAGUGGACGCCUUCCGCCGACCACAGCGACGGCGUCGGCACUGGCACCGUCACGGCAGCCGCGAACACCAGCGUGUCCGUCGGGCCCGGCAACCACCGGGUGGUGUGGACGUCGGGCGUGCAGGACCUGGUGACCUUCGCCAAGUGCGAUCUGUUCAGCGGGAGGUGGGUGAGGGAGGAGAACCACGCGUUCUACCCGCCGCGGUCGUGCCCCCACAUCGACGGCGACUUCAACUGCCACAAGAACGGCCGUCAGGACACCGGCUUCCUCAACUGGAGGUGGCAACCGACCGGCUGCAACAUUCCCAGGAUGAACGCGUCUGAUUUCCUGGAGAGGCUGCGGGGCCAGAGGAUCAUAUUCGUCGGCGACUCGCUGAACCGCAACAUGUGGGAGUCUCUGGUCUGCACUCUCCGCCAUGGUGUCAGGAACAAGAAGAACGUGUACGAGAAGUCCGGGAAGAACCAGUUCAAAACCAGAGGAUUCUAUUCCUUCAAGUUCAGAGACUACAAUUGCUCUGUGGAUUUCAUAAGAUCGACAUUUCUGGUCAAAGAGACGGUCCGCGAGAGCCCAAACGGCACCGUACUCGACGAGAAGCUGAGGUUGGAUGAGCUAGAUGCAACGACUCCGGCGUACCAGACUGCCGACAUCGUCGUCGUCAACACCGGGCACUGGUGGACUCACCCAAAGUCGUCAAAAGGGCUGAACUAUUAUCAAGAAGGCAACCGUGUGCACCAUAGCCUUGAGGUGAUGGACGCAUACAUGAAAGCACUGACCACAUGGGCUAAAUGGGUCGACAAGAACAUAGACCCAACAAGAACUCAGAUCGUGUUCAGAGGACUCUCCCUAACACACUUCAGGGGAGGGCAGUGGAACUCCGGAGGGAGGUGCCACAGGGAGACCGAGCCGAUAUUCAACCAGACGUACCUCACCGAGUACCCCAAGAGGAUGAGAAUGCUGGAGAAGGUCAUGAGCAGGAUGAAGACCCCUGUGAUAUACCUCAACAUCAGCCGGCUCACCGACUACCGGAAGGACGGCCACCCGUCGGUGUACCGGGUGCGCUACGAGACGGAGGAGGAGCGGAUGGCGGCGGCGGCGACCAAGCAGGACUGCAGCCACUGGUGCCUGCCGGGCGUGCCGGACACAUGGAACGAGCUGCUGUAUGCCUCGCUGCUCCAGGCAGGCAAAGGCCCCUGGAGACUAUGA